UCCAACAAACUGGACUUGGAGGGUUUAUUCCCUGAUUUCUGGUGGUGUUUUCCCACAGGAGACCCGUCGGCUCCUCCUCCACAAACCCCCGUCCCCGCGAUCCCGACGGAGCCGCGCACGGAGAGCACCACCCGGGGGGGUGAGCAACUCAAAAAUUUCGGGAUUUUUGGGAGCCACAAACCACCCCCCUCCGUGGUGUGGGAAGCGAAAUAUUCCAACGGCACGGCUGAAUCCAUGAAAUCCCUCCCAUGGAAUGGCACCGCUUUGGGGGCCGCUGGAUUUGGGGCGUUGUGUUUUUCGAUUUUGGAAUUGGAAAUGGAAUUCAAAUGGAAUUUUACACCCUUUUCCCUGCAGGAACCAGCCCCACUUCCAGCCCUUCUCCGGCGGGAAAGCCCGGAGCUGACGGGACACACCUGGAGACAUCCACACCGGGAGAGGGGACAACCCCGCUGCCCAAUGCCCCCUCGGACAAUGCCACAGGUUGGGAUGCUCCCCACGGGAAUAUACCCCCCCUCUCCCGGGGAUAAUUCCAUCCAGGAAAAAAGCUCUUUUUCUUUUCCCCGCGGAUUUUUUUUUCCUUCUCCCCAAAACUCCUUAGCGACGCUCUUCCCACUAUCCCGACUUUUCCAGCUAAAAAAAAGGUUUCUCCCUUCUUUUCCAGCUUCCAGCCAGACCUUGGCCUAUUCCAUCGGUAAGACGAGCUUGUUUUGGGAAGCAGGGGCUCAUUUUCCAUAUUUUUUAAGCUUCCAAGCCCUCGGGGCCGUGGGAGCUUUUAUUCCCUGGGAAUGUCACCGAGGUGGGAAGGAGGCAGCACCCAAACUUCUCCCUGGAAAAGAGAAUUCCCAGUUUUAUCCCUGCCAGGGUGGGGAGGGCACCUUGGGACUGCAUCCAAGGCUCUUUGUGGAGCUGUUUUGUUUGGAGCCGGGCUGUGCCCUCAUCCAUGAGCUGGAAGAUGCUCAUCCAUCCCUGUGGCUUUUCCACAGGGUUCCCGGCGCUCCUGGUCACCGGAAUCGUGGCCUCCUUCUGCUGCUGCCGGAGGAGGAAAAGGUAAGUAUUCCCAACCCCACCGGGUCUUCCCGCCCCAGGGACGAGUUUUCCUCGGCCUCCACCCAAGGAAAGGCCUUGGAAUGCGGGGGAUGCUCCUCCUCCCUUCCACAGGCGCCCACGGCAGGGCUAUGAUGUGACACCCGGGGACAUUCCCAUGGCGGCUCCCGCCCCCGGGAAUGAGG
RNAcentral lists this long non-coding RNA (1229 nucleotides) under Manacus vitellinus (golden-collared manakin). Its description in RNAcentral is "lncRNA (ENSMVIG00005005243.1)". The record is from RNAcentral. Lineage: Eukaryota; Metazoa; Chordata; Aves; Passeriformes; Pipridae.